CAGUGGAUGAAAGUUUGACGAUGUGGA
This 27-nucleotide non-coding RNA is filed under the name Bombyx mori (domestic silkworm). The record is from RNAcentral. Lineage: Eukaryota; Metazoa; Arthropoda; Insecta; Lepidoptera; Bombycidae.